AGAGUGAACGCUGGCGGUAGGCCUAACACGUGCAAGUCGAACGGCAGCACGGUAAGAGCUUGCUCUUAUGGGUGGCGAGUGGCGGACGGGUGAGGAAUACAUCGGAAUCUACCUUUUGGUGGGGGAUAACGUAGGGAAACUUACGCUAAUACCGCAUACGCCCGUUCGGGGGAAAGCCGGGGACCGGCAAGUGGCCUGGUGCUGAUAGAUGAGCCGAUGUCGGAUUAGCUAGUUGGUGAGGUAAUGGCUACGACCAGGCGACGAUCCGUAGCUGGUCUGGAGGAGGAUGAUCAGCCACACUGGAACUGACGACACGGUCCAGACCUCCGUACGGGAGG
This 338-nucleotide ribosomal RNA is filed under the name uncultured soil bacterium. Its description in RNAcentral is "bacterial SSU rRNA". It matches the Rfam family "Bacterial small subunit ribosomal RNA", at positions 26 to 348 of the family's 1533-position model. The record is from RNAcentral.